GGGGUAUUAGCUCAGCUGAUAGAGCGCAGCAUUCGCAUUGCUGAGGUCAAGGGUUUGAAUCCCUUAUACUCCACCA
RNAcentral lists this transfer RNA (76 nucleotides) under TM7 phylum sp. oral taxon 351. RNAcentral's name for it is "tRNA-Ala". It matches the Rfam family "tRNA". Rfam says of the family: Transfer RNA (tRNA) molecules are approximately 80 nucleotides in length. Their secondary structure includes four short double-helical elements and three loops (D, anti-codon, and T loops). RNAcentral also lists the same sequence under 3 other names. The record is from RNAcentral. Lineage: Bacteria; Candidatus Saccharimonadota.